This 429-nucleotide ribosomal RNA is filed under the name Bacteroidota bacterium. Its description in RNAcentral is "Bacteroidetes bacterium partial 16S ribosomal RNA". It matches the Rfam family "Bacterial small subunit ribosomal RNA", at positions 355 to 776 of the family's 1533-position model. Lineage: Bacteria; Pseudomonadati; Bacteroidota. The record is from RNAcentral.
UAGGGAAUCUUCCGCAAUGGGCGAAAGCCUGACGGAGCAACGCCGCGUGAGUGAUGAAGGUCUUCGGAUCGUAAAACUCUGUUAUUAGGGAAGAAUAAAUGUGUAAGUAACUAUGCACGUCUUGACGGUACCUAAUCAGAAAGCCACGGCUAACUACGUGCCAGCAGCCGCGGUAAUACGUAGGUGGCAAGCGUUAUCCGGAAUUAUUGGGCGUAAAGCGCGCGUAGGCGGUUUUUUAAGUCUGAUGUGAAAGCCCACGGCUCAACCGUGGAGGGUCAUUGGAAACUGGAAAACUUGAGUGCAGAAGAGGAAAGUGGAAUUCCAUGUGUAGCGGUGAAAUGCGCAGAGAUAUGGAGGAACACCAGUGGCGAAGGCGACUUUCUGGCCAUAAUCUGACGCUGAGGUACGAAAGCGUGGGUAGCAAACAGG